UAUCACCCUGUAACCCAAGACGGGUCGCCCACUGAACCUAAGCAGCGCUGAACCUGGUCAGUACCUGGAUGGGAGACCUCCUGGGAAAACUAG
This 93-nucleotide ribosomal RNA is filed under the name Sinocyclocheilus grahami. Lineage: Eukaryota; Metazoa; Chordata; Actinopteri; Cypriniformes; Cyprinidae. The record is from RNAcentral.